UGAACUGAAAACCCACAGCAGAUG
Molecule: non-coding RNA, 24 nt
Filed under: Mus musculus (house mouse)
Lineage: Eukaryota; Metazoa; Chordata; Mammalia; Rodentia; Muridae
Source: RNAcentral